GCCUGCUGUGCUUGUCCUGCUGUUUGCUGGGCAUUACAAGGAACCAAGACAACACGGGAUCUGGAGACAGAAAUUUCCUCCUCUUUUAGCUAGAGUGCUUCACCACUAUUACUUCUCUCCUGCAAACAGCUGAACCAUGGGACAGAAAUUGCUGAAGCCACCUAACACAGAGAUGUUACAGGAGCCUCAAACUGAUGUUGAACAGUAGGCAAGGUGCCGCCCUUUUCUCCUAUUAUUGCAAUGCAGACAGACAGUCAGUGUCUGCUAUCCAGACGGAGAGGAGGUUCCCAGCACACAGUUCCAUGCAACAAAAGGCUCUCCUAAAUACGAGGGCAAAUUUAGCAGGAAGAGGACUGGGUUCAGCAAUAGGCAGCAUUAAAUCCUAG
RNAcentral lists this long non-coding RNA (386 nucleotides) under Zonotrichia albicollis (white-throated sparrow). Its description in RNAcentral is "lncRNA (ENSZALG00000014604.1)". The record is from RNAcentral. Lineage: Eukaryota; Metazoa; Chordata; Aves; Passeriformes; Passerellidae.